This 1900-nucleotide unclassified non-coding RNA is filed under the name Hevea brasiliensis (rubber tree). Lineage: Eukaryota; Viridiplantae; Streptophyta; Magnoliopsida; Malpighiales; Euphorbiaceae. The record is from RNAcentral.
AAGGAAAGAAGCACCCUGUGAGGAAGAAGGAACGCAGCAGACUCAGCAGCAGCAAAUAGAUCAUGAUGCGAUACAAAGAGGUAAUCAAUCACUCUUUUUAUCUAUGUGCACACGAUGCUACAUUUCAUAACCAGGCAAAGACUCUAAUUUUGUUGUAGUUACUACGUGAUAUUAAUUGCCAGAUCUUGUUUAUGGUACAUCCAUGACUACCCAUUUUCAUUUCGUAGGAAAAAGAGGCAAAGAAGGAAGCUUUCAGGAAGUAUCUUGAAUCUAGUGGAGUUCUUGAUUCUCUCACCAAAGUUCUGGUUGCAUUGUAUGAGCAAAAUGAGAAACCUUCCUCUGCCCUUGAGUAAGUCUUCCUUUUUCACCGUAUCUGAAGUAAUGGGUAGGAAUCAUUGUCAUACUGUUUGGUUAAAUUGAAAAUUGAAGAUGCCCUUUUUUCCCCUGGGGCAUCCAACGAUUUCAGUUAGUCUUUGGGUAGCAUUCAAGCCAAUUGUUGGGUAGAAUUCAAGUCAAUUGUUUUGUUACUUUGGAAAUUUUUAAAGGGAUAAGGUUGCCAAGUUUUGAACCCCUCACCUCAUGCAUCAUGAUGCAAACAUUUGAUCGCUGGAUUGAAACCAAGCAAAUUGUAUUAUCUUUCGUUUGGCCUCAUGAUAUCUCUUUCAUGUCAGCUUUUUGGAUCUACAUGUUGAAGUUUUAAUUCGCUUAAUCAAUAUUUAUGUAGUAGACAGGGUGCUUAAUGAAAUCUCAAAUUGAAUAAAUAAAAUAAAUUACAUCUCCAUUGGAGAAUAAAACUAAAUAAACUAAAAUUCAUUUUACUUGUUAUGGACUUCAAUAUGGUUUCGUCAACCAUGUCAGCUUUUGGGUAGGCUUGUGAAGUUUUAAUUUGGCUUGAUCAAUAGCUAUGUGGUAACUGGGUCUAUUUAAGAAAUUUUUUUUCCUUAUCAAUGACAAUUAAACAUAAAUGCUUGCAAUGGUUUUUUUGUGUGGCUAAACAUAUAUUUGUUUUUACAGAUUUAUUCAACAAAAACUAGGCGGCCCAAGUUUGUCCGAGUAUGAAAAGCUGCAAGCUGAAAUGUCUGAUUUGCAAAUAAAGUAUAAUGAUCUUUUGUCAGCACACCAGGAAACUUGCAAAGAGGUGAGAUUUAGUAUGCCAUAACCUGGCAUUGUACUCUUAAUAUUUUUGUGGGAUUAACCAUUGAGAUAUUAUAGGAUGCGAGUUUCUUACAAGGGAAUCCUAAAAUCUUGAUUCAGGCCCCAAAGAGAUCAGGUUCACAUUCUUCAAGAGUCCAUGGACUGAGAAAUCAACUAAGCUUUAAUCCCAUUCUAGUUUGGCUUUUCAACAUCCUUUCAGUUAUAUAAAUCAAUUCCUUGUUUUGAUCAUGGUUUUCUCAUGUUCCCUAGUAAGUUAUUGGAGAAGUCUGUCAAUAAACUGCUGGUCUGCUAAACAUCAUUCAGAAUUUAUGUAUUUAUCCAUGCCGUGUUUACAAAUACAAUAUAAAGUAUGCUUCGCAUGUCCAAGGAAAUGCAAUAAAAGUUGCUAGUGUUAGUUAUCCCAGGCCCCCCACCACCAACCACACCCCACCCCCCCGGCCCGAAAAAAAGAGGUGAUACACGUGGUAUUGAUAUUGCUGAAGCAAUUCAUUUGUUACCUAAAGACAAAUUUAUGAUGGUUGUUUGCUUUAGGUAUUUGUUGUGUUUUAUAAUUAGCUAGUGUGUAGGGUGGCCAUUUUACUGAUGCUUAACUAUUUGUUGUGUUUUAUAAUUAGCUAGUGUGUAGGGUGGCCAUUUUACUGAUGCUUAACUAUUUGCUGUGAAUGAUAUUUACUUUCGUAGUUGUUUCUUUGUUUGAAUUGCACAUUCCCAUUUGACUUUUUCCCCUGAUUCUAUGUUCUGUUAC